RNAcentral lists this ribosomal RNA (229 nucleotides) under uncultured Acanthamoeba. RNAcentral's name for it is "partial 18S ribosomal RNA". It matches the Rfam family "Eukaryotic small subunit ribosomal RNA", at positions 97 to 279 of the family's 1831-position model. The record is from RNAcentral. Lineage: Eukaryota; Discosea; Longamoebia; Acanthamoebidae.
CUCAUUAAAUCAGUUAUAGUUUAUUUGAUGGUCUCUUUUGUUCUUUUUUUUACCUUACUUGGAUAAUCGUGGUAAUUCUAGAGCUAACACAUGCGCAAGGUCCCAAGCGCGGAGGGUAGGGCUUCACGGCUCUAUUCUUGCAUGCGCAGCGGGAUGUAUUUAUUAGGUUAAACAACCAGCAUUUUCAUCAUCUGGUGAUUCAUGGUAACUCUUUCGGAUCGCAUUCAUG